This is a long non-coding RNA of Poecile atricapillus (Black-capped chickadee), 6900 nucleotides long. RefSeq lists it as uncharacterized. The transcript is spliced from 2 exons. NCBI's taxonomy places the organism in Eukaryota, Metazoa, Chordata, Aves, Passeriformes, Paridae. The record is from RefSeq and is a predicted model, not a curated record.
CCCAAAUUCCCGAUUAAUUCUAUCCCAAAUUCCCGACAAAUUUUAUCCCAAAUUCCCAAUGAAUUCUAUCCCAAAUUCCCGACGAAUUCUACCACAAAUUCCCCAUUAAUUCUACCCCAAGUUCCUGAUUAAUUCUACCCCAAAUUCCUGAUUAAUUCCAUCCCAAAUUCCCGAUGAAUUUUAUUCCAAAUUCCUGAUUAAUUCUAUCCCAAAUUCCCGACGAAUUUUAUCCCAAAUUCCUGAUUAAUUUUAUCCCAAAUUCCCGAUUAAUUCUAUCCCAAAUUCCCGAUUAAUUCUACCACAAAUUCCUGAUUAAUUCCAUCCCAAAUUCCCAAUGAAUUUUAUUCCAAAUUCCUGAUUAAUUCUAUCCCAAAUUCCCAAUGAAUUCUACCACAAAUUCCCCAUGAAUUCUAUCCCAAAUUCCCAAUUAAUUCUAUCCCAAAUUCCCAAUUAAUUCUACCCCAAAUUCCCGAUGAAUUUUUCCCUGGAUCUGCUGGCACAGCCAGGACACACCAAGGGAAGCUCCUGGAGGGAGAGGUGACAUUCCAAGGCUUUUUCCCUCCUCUCAUCUCUCCCUCAAAUUGCUUUUGACGUUUAAAAUCUCAAUUUUCAGCUCCAGGAAGAGGCUGAGAAAAGCAAAAUUCUCUGAAUUGUUGAAUUCUCCCACUCAGGUGAUGAUGAGAAAGUCACACCCGGCCCAAAGCUCUUCCCUCUCCUCCGAGAAUUCCAAGGAAUUCACCCCAAAACUCUGGAAGAUGAACAAAAUUCCACAUUUUCACGGGAUAAUCCCUUUAGAGCAGCAGAAAAAACGACACAAGUCGUGCUCAUGGGUUAUAAAAGCCCUUUUAUAAAGCCAUUUUUAAACAAAACCAAAAAGUUUACAAAAGAAAAUAAAAGAUACAGAAGAAUGAGUUGCUUAAUAUAUUCCAAAAAAGGAGAAAAAUAAAAGAGGGGGGGGACACAAUUCCAACAUGCUGAACAAUAAAGGGAUUUUUUUGUUUUUUCCUCUUGGUUCUUUUUUUUUUUAAUACAAAAUACAAGCAAAGGAUACACAUAUUUAAAACAGAGCUCAGGAGCAGGUAUGCAAUCCUGGGAACCCUUUUUUAAUCAAAGCAAAGCAGGGUUUUUGUUAUUUUUAUUAUUAUUAAUUUUUUUUUUUGUUUUGUUUUUUUUUGUGGUUUUUUUUCUUUCUUUGCAGGUACAUACAGAGAUUGGGAAUAUUUCAAAUUAAUUAGCACAAAAGACCAUCACACAAAUUCUACCCAUGAAUGUUUGCAUCUAAAAAUUCACCAACAUGGUCAACGGUCAUGUUCACUUCAACCCCUUAAAAACAAAAAAAAAACCAACAAAAAACCAAAAGUGUUUUGUUUUUAAUUUUAAAUAAAGCAUUAAUGUUACAUUCAGACUUAACUCCUAGUACCAUGCUAGAUCUCAGUGUUGUCCAGAGUUCCCAACCCCACAGUUUGACUGUUUGCAGCUGCCCCUUUUUUCUGCUUUUAAAAUUAAAAAUAAUAAAAAAACCCAACAAUAAUAAUAAUAAAAAUUAAAAAGGAUAAGGAGGGGAACUGCAAAGAGCCUGAUUUUAAUUUUUUGUUUAAUAUUUCUUUUUUUUUUCCCCCCCCAAAAAAAAAAGCUCACCAGGGGAUUGCAGAUACUCGAGACAAAAUAUUCAUUGCAUACCAGAAAAUUGCUGCCAAGUCUCCUCCUCCACCUUCACACUCCUCACUCAGGGUUUGCUGUGACACGAUGGCAAACGACAACAACGACAAAAAAAAUUACGUAGCUCUUAUUUACAAUUCUUUUUUUUGUUUUUUUUUUGUAACAAUUGCUUCUGCAGGAAGGGAAGAGGGGAAAAAAAAAAGAAGAAAAAAGAAAAUAAAACCUCACAAAUGCCGAGAACACAAAAGGGAAUGGGGAUGUCAGACGCUCCCGCACUCACACACUGAAAUUUCGGGGGUUUUUACACACAUUUAAGUCUGGCUUAAGCUGAUUUUAGGAUCUCCACCCUCCCCUCCCUCCCCCAAAUCCCAAAAUAUAUAUAUAAAAAACCCUGGCCCCACUGUACAAAGCGCUUGCACACGGGUGCUUUGCAGUCACACUGAGCAUGCUGGCCACCACCAACAGGGAAUAUCCCUGCUUUGACAGCAAGAAUUCCAUCAAAAAACAUUCAGCUACUCAGUUUGGGAGUUGAUUUCCAGCUAGGCUGGGCUUGGGGAGCUCUGGGAAUAAACUGAAAUAAAUUGAAAUAAAUUGAAAUAAUUUGAAAUAAAAAGGUGGUUUUUUUUUAUCUCACUGUUGGCUCUCCCUGCUCUGGACAGCCAGAAUGAAGUGUUAGUGUUGCUUCUGUUCCAUCAGCACUUGGAUUUAAGCCUCCUAAAACUGCAGGGAAACACUUAAAGCUGAGGGGAAAUGCUCUGUUUGGUCAAAUACACACAGAAUUUAUCAUUUUCACACAUAGAUGUGACAGCAACCCCCCCAAAAAUUCACAAAUCUUAAAUGCCACCAACUACUCCGUGACAAUUUCCCUUCAAAACUGCUCUGUUUCCUCCCCCCUCCAACAGAUUAAUUCAAUACUAAAUUUUUAAUCAAAUAUUAAACUCCUGGAUCUGUUUUUUGUAGCUUUUAGGAACCGUGUGUUCAACGCUAGGAUCUGUUAGGAAAAAAUAAAAACAACCUCACGAAGAAAGGACAGAAAAGCAAAGCACCGGUUUUGUACAGCUCCAAAAAAAGCUUCCAGCAUGGUUCAGAUUCCUUCCCUCCCUCCCUCACCUGCCUCUUGUACCUUUGUGACCUCAGUGGAGGGAAUAUUAAAUAAAAAAAGGGGGGAAAAAAAGGAAAAAAAAGGGAAAAAAAACAGGAAUUCAGGAUUUGUGCCACUGCCCUGGUGGUGCUGCUUCAGCUCUCUCCCCUCGCUUCUCUCUGCCUUGAGGAAAUUAAAAUUGAUUAAAAACUCCUCAGCUGCUGUUUUUAAACCCAUCCUGACCCCCCUGGAACUGAACCAAAGCAUCUUUAGCACAAAACUCCAGCUGAAAUUGCAGAUUUUGACUGAUUUUGACAAGUCCAAGGCAGGAUUUUGGCACAAACCAGGGCUGGAUGUGGCGCUGUGGAUUCAAGGACAGGAUGAAAACUCUAGGCUGGAAUUUUAAGAGCAAGCCCAGGGCUGGAGACUGAGUGAAUUUAGGAAUAAAUCCAUUUUACCUCUCUGCAAAGGCUCUAGAAAUACAGGUGUGGGACACAGAAUCUUUUCAAAGCCUCCUCCUCCUGUGAAUGAAACUUUCUGCUCCACCAAAAUCUCUUUGUGCUGCUAAAGAAAGGCAUUUUCCCAGCUUUCCUUCCAGAAUGUUUAAUACAAAUUAAUUCCUAUGUGCAUUUAAAAAGGUGAAAAGUCUGCUGCUGCUGAAAAAUGAUGUUAAAAUAAAUAGAUUUAAAAUAAUAAAAAUAUUCACCUUGACUAUUUUUUCCUGUCUGUAAAGAUGUGAAAUUGCUGUAUUUCUAACAGAGGGCUUAGUGUUUGCAUCCAUCAGCAAAACAGGGUUAGAAAAAGUUACAAAAUCCUCAACAUCUGGGAUUUUUAUAGCAUUUGGGUUGUGAGACACUCAGAAAGCAUCAGGCAGCCUCCAACACAUCAGGAAUAAAGGUGUGAGAAAGCAGAACAGUUCUGUAAAAUAAAGGGCCAAACUUGCCAGGACAAAACAAUCCAAAAGCUGAACUGAAACAACAGAAAAAUGAUAUUUCACAGCCUUUUCUUAACUGUGUUAGGAAAAAUAAACCAACCAAAAAUGUAUUUUAGGUGAGAUUCAUAAAAUACACUUCAAAAAACAUCUGGUGAAGAACCAGAUCACCUGGAAUUUUCAUUGUAUAUUUGAAUUUCAAAAAAAAAACCCCUAAGAAGCCAGUGGAGAGUGGCUUGAGACAGUCUGGGAACAGCUCUGGGAACCAGAGAUUUGCAGAUGAAGUGUUUGCUACCCCCAAAAUGGUUUUUUAUUUUUAAAAUGUGGCUGUUUAUUUUCCCAGAAUUACCCAAGAAGUUGAGGGAAUUUCUGCUCUCCCAGAAAUCCAGCAGGUGGGAAGAGGUGUGGGAGAGGAGAAGGGGGUUACAUUUUCUUUAUCAAGACUGAAAUUUCCCUGCAGCAUGAAGCUGUUCUGGAAAAAAAAAAAUAAAAAAAAAUAAAAAUAAAAUAAUCAAACCACUUUAAAAAAUAAAAUUGGAUUUACAAUGAAACAACAUCAUCUUUAUUGUAAUGGCAACAGUAGUUCCAUGAGAGUCAUGAACGUUAGAGAACUUCAAUUUUUAUAAGGGAAAGGGAUUUACCAGCCUCAAUAAAAUCCAGGCUUUAGGGAAUUACACAGGACAAUAUUCCAUUCCCCACCUGUGCUCAGCAUCCUCAGCUCCCUACGGAUUCAGACUCCUGAUCAUGUUUAGUGUAUCACAACAUCUGAGAACUCUCCAAAAUCCCAAACAGGAUUCAAGAUCUGCACCAGAAAUCCCAACUUAUUCAUUAGCUGCCUUUAUGUCACCUUCUGGCUGGUUACAAAAUGGGGAGUUCUGUGAUAAAAAAAAAAUAAAAUAAAAAGCAAAAAUAGGAGAAGGAUGCAAAGCUCAUCAGCUGGAAGAGAAUGUCAGCAACAGACACAAGCACAGAGGGUUUAAGGGAAAAAAAAAAAACAAAAAUAAAAAUGGCAGGUCCAGUUUUUAAUGUUUCCACCAACAAAUGUGGCAGAAAACUCUGUCUGAGGGUGUGAAAACCAAGGUUUGGGGAGUUUAAUGAAGUUUAGGAAAUUAAAAAAGGGAAGAAAGGAUAUGGCUGCUUGGAUAAAAGCACAUUAAAAUGCCAGCACACACCUCGAGUGUCCUGCUCUGACAGGGAAAUCCCAACUCCAGCCACAGGGCCCCACACUGCACACCCAGCUCAGGGGGCACAGCAGGAGGGGAGCUGAUCCCACUGAUCCCACAGAUCCCAGGGGAAGGAUGGGAACUGAUCCCACUGAUCCCACAGAUCCCAGGGGAAGGAUGGGAACUGAUCCCACUGAUCCCAGGGGAAGGAUGGGAACUGAUCCCACAAAUCCCAGGGGAAGGAUGGGAACUGAUCCCACAGGCAGGAGGGAACUGAUCACACAGAUCCAAGGGGAAGGAUGGGAACUGAUCCCACAGGCAGGAGGGAGCUGAUCCCACUGAUCCCACAGGCAGAAAGGGAGGAGCUGAUCCCACAGAUAGGAGGGGAGGAGCUGAUCCCACAGAUCCCAGAGGUGGGGAGCUGAUCCCACAGAUCCCACAGGCAGGAAGGGAGGAGCUGAUCCCACAGGCAGGAGGGGAGGAGCUGAUCCCACAGAUCCCAGAGGUGGGGAGCUGAUCCCACAGAUCCCACAGACAGGAGGGGAGCUGAUCCCACAGAUCCCAGAGGCAGGAUGGGGAGGAGCUGAUCCCUCAGAAUCCAGGGGAAGGAUGGGGAGGAGCUGAUCCCACAGAUCCCACAGAUCCUAGAGGAAGGAUGGGGAGCUGAUCCCACAUGAAGGAUGGGGAGCUGAUCCCACAGAUCCCACAGGCAGGAGGGGAACUGAUCCCACAAGUCCCACAGACAGGAUGAGGAGCUGAUCCCACAGAUCCCAGAGGAACGAUGGGGAGGAGCUGAUCCCGCUGAUCCCAGAGGAAGGAUGGGGAGGAGCUGAUCCCACAGAUCCCAGAGGUGGGGAGCUGAUCCCACAGAUCCCACAGGCAGGAUGGGGAGCUGAUCCUACAGAUCCCAGAGGAAGGAUGAGGCCCUGGAGCUGAUCCCACAGAUCCCAAGUGGGGACAGGGAUGAGGCCCCGGAGCUGAUCCCACAGAUCCCAGAGGAAGGAGGGGAGCUGAUCCCACAGAUCCCAAAGGAAGGAGGGGAGCUGAUCCCACAGAUCCCAAGUGGGGACAGGGAUGAGGCCCCAGAGCUGCUCUGUGCCCGCUGUGCCCCCUCUGCCAGGGACCCCUGGAGCUCUGCUGAGGGCAGGGGAAGGGAAGAGAAACACUCCAGGCUGACCCCUGGGAUCUCAAGUGAUCUCAGAGCACCACAGGAAUCCUUUCCUCACAGCCACAAAAGGACAUCCCUCGCUCCAGAAGAGGAAGAAUUUAAUUUCCCAUUAUUCGUUAAUUUGGGGUUUUUUUUCCUUGGAAAAAUCUGUAAUAAAAACAGUUUCCACCAUACCCAAAGGAAAGCAGUUUUAAAAAUGAUUUUGCAAUUUCUCUUCCCUGUUCUGCCCCUCUACAGAAGGAAUAAAAUAAGGGUGAAUGGACAUGGGAAGGCUGUAGGUUUAAGAUGUGAAUUUAUCUGGAAUGGGCUGCAAUUUGCCUACAGCAGAGACAAAAGAUCUCCCAUCCUGACUGGAGGGUCUUUUCUAAAUCAAAGACACUGGAGCAUCUCCGAGUUUCUUGAUUGCUUUCCAUGAAAAAUGUGCCUGAAUCCAAGAAACACAGGAUUCCUCCCCAAGUUCCAUCCUCCUCCACUGGAAUUAGAUCAACUACAUUUUUGCUGUGAGAAAACUCAUCUCAAAGUCUAUUAAAGCAGAGGUUCGUUAUUUUUUUUUUUCCAUAUAUUCCAAAUACAGGAUAAUAGUUUUAAACAGCUCUUACCAGCACUGGGAAAAUCUAUUCUACUUAAGGUUUUUUAAGUAUGGUUUCCACAGAUCAGUCUCAAACCUUAUUGCUUCACAACUGCAGUAUCCCUUGAAAAAAAAAAAUGAAAUAUUGAAUGGUCUGUUAAAUUUGUCUCAAAUGGCUUUUCAGAUUUGGCAGGGGAGGGAGAACGGAAUGGCCAACAGAGAACAUUGACUUCAAAAUAUUACUGUAGAAGGGUUUCCUCUUAUUAAAAAAGGACACACUGUAUUAAACAGCUGAAAGUAAAGACAGCAUUCAAAGCCCAUGAGUCAAGC